This 92-nucleotide microRNA precursor is filed under the name Canis lupus familiaris (dog). RNAcentral describes it as "mir-8799 microRNA precursor family". It matches the Rfam family "mir-8799 microRNA precursor family". The record is from Rfam by way of RNAcentral. Lineage: Eukaryota; Metazoa; Chordata; Mammalia; Carnivora; Canidae.
CGGGGGAGCGCAGGGUCCUGGGCUGUGUCCCCCGCGCCCUGGGCUCUGGGGCCUGUGCUGCUGGAAUCGCGCUCCCAGGGCUGCAGCUCCGG